This 253-nucleotide ribosomal RNA is filed under the name uncultured bacterium. RNAcentral's name for it is "partial 16S ribosomal RNA". It matches the Rfam family "Bacterial small subunit ribosomal RNA", at positions 524 to 776 of the family's 1533-position model. The record is from RNAcentral.
UACAGAGGGUGCGGGCGUUAAUCGGAAUUACUGGGCGUAAAGCGCGCGUAGGCGGCUUUGCAAGUCGAGUGUGAAAUCCCCAGGCUUAACCUGGGAACUGCAUUCGAGACUGCAUAGCUAGAGUAUGGGAGAGGGAAGUGGAAUUUCAGGUGUAGCGGUGAAAUGCGUAGAUAUCUGAAGGAACAUCAGUGGCGAAAGCGACUUCCUGGACCAAUACUGACGCUCAUGUGCGAAAGCGUGGGGAGCAAACAGG